RNAcentral lists this transfer RNA (71 nucleotides) under Spirochaetota bacterium. RNAcentral describes it as "Spirochaetes bacterium (freshwater sediment metagenome) tRNA-Gln". It matches the Rfam family "tRNA". From Rfam's summary of the family: Transfer RNA (tRNA) molecules are approximately 80 nucleotides in length. Their secondary structure includes four short double-helical elements and three loops (D, anti-codon, and T loops). Further hydrogen bonds mediate the characteristic L-shaped molecular structure. tRNAs have two regions of fundamental functional importance: the anti-codon, which is responsible for specific mRNA codon recognition, and the 3' end, to which the tRNAs corresponding amino acid is attached (by aminoacyl-tRNA synthetases). tRNAs cope with the degeneracy of the genetic code in two manners: having more than one tRNA (with a specific anti-codon) for a particular amino acid; and 'wobble' base-pairing, i.e. permitting non-standard base-pairing at the 3rd anti-codon position. Lineage: Bacteria; Pseudomonadati; Spirochaetota. The record is from RNAcentral.
UGAGGGAUCGUUCAACGGCAGGACAAUGGACUCUGACUCCAUUAAUUCAGGUUCGAAUCCUGAUCCCUCAG